UCCACGGUGGUUUAGUGGUUGGGACGUCCGCCUCACACCUCCAGGGUCGGGGGUUCGAGUCCCGCCGUGGCC
Ameiurus melas (black bullhead) is the source of this 72-nucleotide non-coding RNA. The record is from the annotation of a GenBank genome assembly. Lineage: Eukaryota; Metazoa; Chordata; Actinopteri; Siluriformes; Ictaluridae.